UCAGUUUUGAACCUGAGGCCGUGACAUCACUCAUGGUCUGCAGUCAGUGCUCUGCCCCUGAGCUCUACCAUUUCCUAUGAUAAUCACUCUUAAGAAAGGCAACCCUUGGUGUUUUCCCCUUAAGGUCACCCAGGCUGGAGUGCAGUGGUGUGGUCAUGACUCCCUGUACCCUGGAACUCAGGCUCGGGUGAUCCUCUCUCCUUUGCCUCCCAAGUAGCCAGGACUACAGGUGUGCACCCACCACCACGCUCAGAUAAUUGCUUUGGUGUUUUUAAAGCUUGUAAUAUCAGUAGGCUGAGGCGGGUAAAUCACAAGGUCAAGAGUUUUCUAGAUGUGUUGGGGUAAGCACAGACCAAUUCCUGUUGUCUUAUUUACUGAUUUAAAAUUUUGAGACGUCUCACUGUCACCCAGGUUGGGGUGCAGUGGUACGAUCAUAGCUUGCUGCAGCCUUGAUCUCCCAGGAUCUUGCCUCAGCCUCCUGAGUAGCUGGGACUACGUGCUUGUGCCACUACACUCAGUUAAUAUUUUGUAGAGAUGGGGUCUUGCUGUGUUGUCCAGGCUGGCUUCAAACUCCUGAACUUAAAAGCCUCCUGUUUAGUUUUGGUUUUUUAUCACUUUUUUUUUUUUUUAGAUGGAAUCUCACGCCCAUUGUGCAGGCUGGAGUGCAGUGGCGCAAUCUCGGCUCACUGCAGCUUCCGCCUCUCGGGUUCAAGCGAUUCGCCUUUCUCAGCCUCUUGAGUAGCUGGAAUUACCAGUGUGCGCCACCAUGUCUGGCUAAUUUUUCUAUUUUUAGUAGAGACGGGGUUUUGCCGUGUUGGCCAGGCUGGUCUUGAACUCCUGACCUCUUGUGAUCCACCUGCCUUGGCCUUCCAAAGUGCUAGGAUUACAAGCGUGAGCCACAGCGCCCGGCCUUGCUACUUUUUUUUUUUUUUUACAGACAUGGUCUCGCUAUGUUGCCUAGGAUGGUUUUGCACCGGGUCCAAGCAGUUCUGCCGCAGCCUCUCAAAGUGCUGGGAUUACAGGGGUGAGGCACCUUGCUGGCCCGUUUUGAUUAGGGUGCAGUGUCGGUGAAGCCGGCGCGAGGCCAAUGAUGCAUCCUAAUGAGGGGUGGAGUUGGCGGGACUUCUGGGCCGGUUUGGGGACUUUCAUAAAAGACCCCCAUGACUCAGGGUUUUGGGUUCUUAACCAAUCGGGUGAAGGAUUCAAAAUUAACCACUCCAAGAGGGAACUGAAGGAAGAACCACUCUUGAUGGACAAAAAGAAGGGGGAGGGAGUAACAGGGAUAUGAGCCCUAGCCACCCGAGCCAGCAACGGCAACCCUUCUGGGUCCCCUUCCAGCAUGUGGAAGCUUUCCUUUUGCUUCGUUCAAUAAACAGCU
Molecule: long non-coding RNA, 1378 nt
Filed under: Pongo abelii (Sumatran orangutan)
Lineage: Eukaryota; Metazoa; Chordata; Mammalia; Primates; Hominidae
Description: lncRNA (ENSPPYG00000009746.3)
Source: RNAcentral